UACGGAGGGUGCGAGCGUUAAUCGGAAUUACUGGGCGUAAAGGGCGCGUAGGCGGUGCGGUAAGUCACCUGUGAAAUCUCCUGGCUCAACUGGGAGCUUGCAGGCGAAACUGCCGUGCUGGAGUGUGGGAGAGGUGCGUGGAAUUCCUGGUGUAGCGGUGAAAUGCGUAGAUAUCAGGAGGAACACCUGUGGCGAAAGCGGCGCACUGGACCACAACUGACGCUGAUGCGCGAAAGCUAGGGGAGCAAACAGG
RNAcentral lists this ribosomal RNA (253 nucleotides) under uncultured bacterium. RNAcentral's name for it is "partial 16S ribosomal RNA". It matches the Rfam family "Bacterial small subunit ribosomal RNA", at positions 524 to 776 of the family's 1533-position model. The record is from RNAcentral.